AAAGGGUGCGUAGGCGGCCUGUUAAGUCAGGGGUGAAAGACGGUAGCUCAACUAUCGCAGUGCCCUUGAUACUGACGGGCUUGAAUGGACUAGAGGUAGGCGGAAUGUGACAAGUAGCGGUGAAAUGCAUAGAUAUGUCACAGAACACCGAUUGCGAAGGCAGCUUACUAUGGUUUUAUUGACGCUGAGGCACGAAAGCGUGGGGAUCAAACAGGAUUAGAUACCCCAGU
This 230-nucleotide ribosomal RNA is filed under the name uncultured bacterium. Its description in RNAcentral is "partial 16S ribosomal RNA". It matches the Rfam family "Bacterial small subunit ribosomal RNA", at positions 562 to 791 of the family's 1533-position model. The record is from RNAcentral.